Gadus macrocephalus (Pacific cod) is the source of this 778-nucleotide long non-coding RNA. RefSeq lists it as uncharacterized. The record is from RefSeq and is a predicted model, not a curated record. Lineage: Eukaryota; Metazoa; Chordata; Actinopteri; Gadiformes; Gadidae. The transcript is spliced from 2 exons.
UGAUGAAAUGAUUUUGAUUUGUUUUUUUAGAGUUUACUGCCACAAGGAAAAGGGAAUAAUUCACUCAUAAUCUGUUUGUCAUAUUUGUACUGGGGGCUGAAUAUUUGAUACCGAUAGUAAUCUCACAGCUCAAGGCUUUGUUUAUGAGGUGAACUGCCUGAUAAUGGAGCUGGACCCCCACUGCCAGGCCAACAGGACUGGUUUCCCUCUGGCCUGGAGGGUGGGCUUGUUUCAGACCUAUGGGGGCUUUAGCAGGAGAGCAGAGUGUGAUGCACUGAAUCUUGUUGUGUUCCCCCUCUUCAGGGUGACGUUGGAGGACGGGUCGAGGGGGUUGAUCCAUGAGGGAAAUGGUGGUGGACGUGAGACACAUGAGCUCUGACUGGAAGACUAUUAAAAAGAACAAUUUCAAGGGGAAGAAGACUGUUGCUGACUUCGUGGCAGAUGGGGGCUCCAAUUACUGUCUGUUCUUCAAUAACUGUCGAGACGCGUCUACUCGGAUGAUGACUCCCUUUCGGGAGUGAAACGUCUUCACCAGCAAAAUCAACAUUCAACAAAUCACCAUUAUUUCACUCAACCAGAUUCAAAUAAAUUAAUGCAUACAUAAAUCGUGUUUGUUUAGUCCUUUCUUUGAGUUCUCCCAACAUCUAGAGGCAGCUUCAGAGAAUAACCAAGGCUCUAUGGGGCUUGUACAUCAGAGUGCAUCAUGGGAUUUGUUGUUGGGAUACCACGCCAUUUUGUAAUGCCUGGAGAGCAUUGGAGUAAUGUAAAUACACGGUGA